RNAcentral lists this ribosomal RNA (154 nucleotides) under Begonia formosana x Begonia aptera. RNAcentral's name for it is "5.8S ribosomal RNA". It matches the Rfam family "5.8S ribosomal RNA". From Rfam's summary of the family: 5.8S ribosomal RNA (5.8S rRNA) is a component of the large subunit of the eukaryotic ribosome. It is transcribed by RNA polymerase I as part of the 45S precursor that also contains 18S and 28S rRNA. The record is from RNAcentral. Lineage: Eukaryota; Viridiplantae; Streptophyta; Magnoliopsida; Cucurbitales; Begoniaceae.
CUCGAUAAUAGAUAUCUCAGCUCUAGCAUUAAUGAAGAACGUAGUGAAAUGCGAUACUUGGUGUGAAUUGCAGAAUCCCGUGAACCAUCAAGUUUUUGAACGCAAGUUGCACCCGAAGCCUUCUGGCUGAGGGCACAUCUUCCUGGGCAUAACC